UGCCAUACCUAUAAUGCUUAAAUCAUGCAUAUAACUAACUUGAUAUAUAAAUGAAUGUAAUAACAAAUAAUAAUAGUGAAAAAUAAAUAAAUAUUAAUGAAUAGAAUUAUAUUACAUAUCAUUAUUGUAAGAGAAGAUUCAAUAAAGAAUAUAAAUCUACUCAUCAAUAUCCAUAUCCUUCUUAAUUUGUAGGUCCUCCUCUGAAUCACAAUAAUUGACUAAUAUAUCAUCUUCUAUCUCAUUGUCAUUUACGAACUGAUCGUCGCCCUCCAAAUCAUUAAGAUUAAAUACAAAAUCAACUUCAACUUCAUUGGACG
RNAcentral lists this long non-coding RNA (317 nucleotides) under Elaeis guineensis (African oil palm). Its description in RNAcentral is "long non-coding RNA (EGUI_LNC043092)". The record is from RNAcentral. Lineage: Eukaryota; Viridiplantae; Streptophyta; Magnoliopsida; Arecales; Arecaceae.